This 516-nucleotide ribosomal RNA is filed under the name uncultured bacterium. RNAcentral describes it as "partial 16S ribosomal RNA". It matches the Rfam family "Bacterial small subunit ribosomal RNA", at positions 355 to 862 of the family's 1533-position model. The record is from RNAcentral.
UAGGGAAUCUUCCACAAUGGACGAAAGUCUGAUGGAGCAACGCCGCGUGAGUGAAGAAGGUUUUCGGAUCGUAAAGCUCUGUUGUUGGUGAAGAAGGAUAGAGGCAGUAACUGGUCUUUAUUUGACGGUAAUCAACCAGAAAGUCACGGCUAACUACGUGCCAGCAGCCGCGGUAAUACGUAGGUGGCAAGCGUUGUCCGGAUUUAUUGGGCGUAAAGCGAGCGCAGGCGGAAUGAUAAGUCUGAUGUGAAAGCCCACGGCUCAACCGUGGAACUGCAUCGGAAACUGUCAUUCUUGAGUGCAGAAGAGGAGAGUGGAACUCCAUGUGUAGCGGUGGAAUGCGUAGAUAUAUGGAAGAACACCAGUGGCGAAGGCGGCUCUCUGGUCUGCAACUGACGCUGAGGCUCGAAAGCAUGGGUAGCGAACAGGAUUAGAUACCCUGGUAGUCCAUGCCGUAAACGAUGAGCGCUAGGUGUUGGGGACUUUCCGGUCCUCAGUGCCGCAGCAAACGCAUUA